UACGAGGGGGGCGAGCGUUGUUCGGAAUUAUUGGGCGUAAGGGGUGCGUAGGCGGCCUGACAAGUCUGAUGUGAAAUCCCUGGGCUCAACCCAGGGCCUGCAUCGGAAACUGUCGGGCUUGAGUAUGGGAGAGGUGAGUGGAAUUUCCGGUGUAGCGGUGAAAUGCGUAGAUAUCGGAAGGAACACCUGUGGCGAAAGCGGCUCACUGGACCAUUACUGACGCUGAGGCACGAAAGCUAGGGGAGCAAACAGG
RNAcentral lists this ribosomal RNA (253 nucleotides) under uncultured bacterium. Its description in RNAcentral is "partial 16S ribosomal RNA". It matches the Rfam family "Bacterial small subunit ribosomal RNA", at positions 524 to 776 of the family's 1533-position model. The record is from RNAcentral.